AGAGAUGUGUGAUGACGCAUAUCAAUAAGCGGAGGAAAAGAAACUAACAAGGAUUCCCUUAGUAACGGCGAGUGAAGCGGGAAGAGCUCAAAUUUGAAAUCUUCAAGGUUCUACCUUGACGAAUUGUAGUUUAUAGAAGUGUUUUCUGUUAGUAGAGUGGCAAAAGUUCUUUGGAAUAGGACAUCAUAGAGGGUGAGAAUCCCGUAUUUGGAUCAUUUCUUUCCUAGCUUUGUGAUACACUUUCAAAGAGUCGGAUUGUUUGGGAAUGCAGUCCAAAAUGGGAUGGUAAAUUUCAUCUAAAGCUAAAUAUUGGCGAGAGACCGAUAGCGAACAAGUACCGUGAGGGAAAGAUGAAAAGAACUUUGAAAAGAGAGUUAAACAGUACGUGAAAUUGUCAAAAGGGAAGCGUUUGACACCAGUGUUGUUUUUCCGAAAAUCAAUUACGAAUGUUUUAUUUUUGAGAAGUUAUGACUUCAUCGGCUUGCUUCUCUCUUUAUGAAACUUUCUUAAUGCACUUUUCGGUUAACAAGUCAACAUCAAUUUCUUUUGUUGUAAAAGGGUAUGAGGAGGGUGGCUUUCUUUUCGGAGAAAGUGUUUAUAGCCUUGUACCUCUGCAAUCGGAGAGAUUGAGGUCUGCAGCGUAGAUCCUUCGGGGUUAGAUACAUUUGUGCUAAGUUAUAGCUUUUCAUAGACAACUUGUUGACUAUGUUAAGUCUUGUAGCUUACUCGCUUAUGCUAUUUUACCUACGCUUAGGAUGUUGAAGAUGUAGCACAUCAU
This 778-nucleotide ribosomal RNA is filed under the name uncultured Neocallimastigales. Its description in RNAcentral is "partial large subunit ribosomal RNA". It matches the Rfam family "Eukaryotic large subunit ribosomal RNA", at positions 23 to 635 of the family's 3401-position model. Lineage: Eukaryota; Fungi; Neocallimastigomycota; Neocallimastigomycetes; Neocallimastigales. The record is from RNAcentral.